AUGAACGCUAGCUACAGGCUUAACACAUGCAAGUCGAGGGGCAGCAUGGUCUUAGCUUGCUAAGGCCGAUGGCGACCGGCGCACGGGUGAGUAACACGUAUCCAACCUGCCGUCUACUCUUGGACAGCCUUCUGAAAGGAAGAUUAAUACAAGAUGGCAUCAUGAGUCCGCAUGUUCACAUGAUUAAAGGUAUUCCGGUAGACGAUGGGGAUGCGUUCCAUUAGAUAGUAGGCGGGGUAACGGCCCACCUAGUCUUCGAUGGAUAGGGGUUCUGAGAGGAAGGUCCCCCACAUUGGAACUGAGACACGGUCCAAACCCCUACGGGAGGCAGCAGUGAGGAAUAUUGGUCAAUGGGCGCAGGCCUGAACCAGCCAAGUAGCGUGAAGGAUGACUGCCCUAUGGGUUGUAAACUUCUUUUAUAAAGGAAUAAAGUCGGGUAUGUAUACCCGUUUGCAUGUACUUUAUGAAUAAGGAUCGGCUAACUCCGUG
This 489-nucleotide ribosomal RNA is filed under the name uncultured bacterium. Its description in RNAcentral is "partial 16S ribosomal RNA". It matches the Rfam family "Bacterial small subunit ribosomal RNA", at positions 29 to 507 of the family's 1533-position model. The record is from RNAcentral.